CUCAAGAGUCUUCUUCCAUAACAAAAUUAAAAUUCUUCUUUUCUAGCUUUCUCCUUUUUAGUUGAAUCUUCUGAUCUUAGUUAACGAUUUUGAGCUAGCAGAAGGUCUAACCAAUUAUACCUAGUUUCUGUUAUUCUCUGCAUGAUAUUAGAGCCAUAACCACACGUUGCCUUUGAAAGUGUAUUUCAAGAUCGAGUUAGUGGUAGUUCAAUUGAUUUGUACGAAUGGAUUUAAGUGGUCGCUUUAAUGGACUGUGAAUGGAGUUGUUACAUCAGUCCAGUUACAAGGUAUUGAAGACAUGU
This 302-nucleotide long non-coding RNA is filed under the name Capsicum annuum. RNAcentral describes it as "long non-coding RNA (CANN_LNC021689)". The record is from RNAcentral. Lineage: Eukaryota; Viridiplantae; Streptophyta; Magnoliopsida; Solanales; Solanaceae.